Molecule: small RNA, 615 nt
Filed under: Pongo abelii (Sumatran orangutan)
Lineage: Eukaryota; Metazoa; Chordata; Mammalia; Primates; Hominidae
Description: retained intron
Source: RNAcentral
UCUCUAGACCACAGCUCCUUUCAAAAUCCCUAAAACGCAAGCAUCUUCCAACCUGUUAGCCUUGGUUACUCGUCAUGGGCCUGCUGAAGAACAGUCCAAAGAUGGGAACGAGCCACGGGAAUGUGUCCAUUGCCUCUUAGUGCAAGGAAGUGAGAGGCAGCGGGCCGAGCAGCAGAGCAAGGCAGUGUUUGGCAGAUCUGUUAGUACUGGGAAGUUAUCAGAUCAACAAGGAAAGACUCCUAUAUGUCGACAUCAGGGCAGCACAGACAGUUUAAAUACAGAACGACCAAUGGAUAUAGUGGGGCCCAGCAACUCCGGGGGCUCUCUGUGUGCCAUGAGUGGCCGCGUGUGUGUGGGGUCCCCGCCUGGCCCAGGCUUCGGCUCUUCCCCUCCAGGAGCAGAGGCAGCUCCCAGCCUGAGAUACGUGCCUUACGGUGCUUCACCCCCCAGCCUAGAGGGGCUCAUCACCUUUGAAGCCCCUGAACUGCCGGAGGAGACGCUGAUGGAGCGAGAACACACAGACACCUUACGCCAUCUGAAUGUGAUGCUGAUGUUCACUGAGUGUGUGCUGGACCUGACAGCCAUGAGGGGAGGAAACCCUGAGCUGUGCACAUC